This 592-nucleotide ribosomal RNA is filed under the name uncultured bacterium. RNAcentral's name for it is "bacterial SSU rRNA". It matches the Rfam family "Bacterial small subunit ribosomal RNA", at positions 129 to 736 of the family's 1533-position model. The record is from RNAcentral.
CCCUUUGGAAAGGAAUAGCCUCGGGAAACUGGGAGUAAUGCCUUAUAAGAUACGUUUGUCGCAUGGCAUUUGUAUUAAACGCUCCGGCGCCAUAGGAUGGACCCGCGUCCCAUUAGCUAGUUGGUGAGAUAACAGCUCACCAAGGCCACGAUGGGUAACCGGUCUGAGAGGGCGAACGGUCACACUGGAACUGAGACACGGUCCAGACUCCUACGGGAGGCAGCAGUGGGGAAUAUUGCGCAAUGGGGGCAACCCUGACGCAGCAAUACCGCGUGAGUGAAGAAGGUUUUCGGAUCGUAAAGCUCUGUUAUUGGGGAAGAAAAAAAGACGGUACCCAAGAAGAAAGUUCCGGCUAACUACGUGCCAGCAGCCGCGGUAAUACGUAGGGAACAAGCGUUGUCCGGAUUUACUGGGCGUAAAGGGCACGCAGGCGGUUUUUUAAGUCAGAUGUGAAAGGCCACAGCUCAACUGUGGACAUGCAUUUGAAACUGAAAGACUUGAGUAUUGGAGAGGCAAGUGGAAUUCCUAGUGUAGCGGUGAAAUGCGUAGAUAUUAGGAGGAACACCGGUGGCGAAGGCGGCUUGCUGGACAA